CCUGUUCAUCCAAGAGGACAUAACAGGAGAUAAAGAAAUUUUGAGAGAAAAUAUCCAAGCAAUAAUAACCUUCAUACAGUUCAUUAUAGCUAAGAAAAACACAUUGCUGGGAUCGAGAUUCUAGAUUGUGUUUUGAGUAUGGCUGUAGUCACAAUCACAAAGGCAUAACAAAAAAUUGUAAGCUCAUGGCAAUCAGGAGCUUUAGCAAACAAUCUUUCAUAUGGUAAGAUCAGAUAAUUAAUUAAGUACACGGUGGUAUCAAAAGUAUAAUUCCAAAAUUUUAUUGGCACAAAUGCAUGAUUAAAAAGAGUGAGGCCUGUUUUAACAAUACGUCGAGGUUUGCGAGAAACUUAUUUUACAAUUGUUUAACGUUUUGGUAAAAUUUGGAUAAUGACAAACCCAAUUGGGAUUUCGCCAAGUGAGGAAUGAAAUGGAUCGAGAGAGUGAAGUGGACCAGUAGUCUACCAGGAUCUUGUCAUGGCCUUAGAUGGGUCUGCUAAAUCGUGGGCCUUUUCUAUGCAAGGCAGAUAUUUUGUUGGGCUACCUUAUAGCUCCUGAUCUGAAAGUUUUCAUCUUUCCGUAGGGUUUGAUCAUUCUCCCUCUUUCCCCCCAAUCCUUUUAUCUAAUUCAGACGAUUUCUGGACAUUGGAUUUCAUUCAAGCUACUUUAGGGAGUAUAUGCAAUGAAUAGAAAUGUGUCGUUAUCAGCCCUGGGAAGUUGAUUCAUCACAAGUUGAAGAUUCUACACAUGCGGGAAAUGGCAUGGAACGUGUAGAUGCAAGGUGGGAGACACAGAUGGCAAUGUUGGAGGCACGGAUUGCAAAUGUUGAAGCUCGGGUGGAAAGGCUUGAGGCGAGGAUGUUGUAUUUGCAAAAGGGAAUGCGUAUAGUAUGUGGGUUGUUUUUGGUUACUCUUGCAUAUGCUAUAUGCAAAUGAAUGGGAUUGUGACUAAUUGGUUUUAGGCUUCUAAUUGGGUUACUCACAAUUAGAUGCGUACUUUAAAAGUUCUUUGUAUAAAAUUCAGAUUUUUCAUGCUAAGAUGAAAAUACGAUGGCCAUUUUUGUGAUGCUGUUGUUGACAUUUAAAAGAUAAUGAUGCAGUUUGAGAAA
Molecule: long non-coding RNA, 1108 nt
Organism: Hevea brasiliensis (rubber tree)
Lineage: Eukaryota; Viridiplantae; Streptophyta; Magnoliopsida; Malpighiales; Euphorbiaceae
Exons: 2
Source: RefSeq, a predicted model, not a curated record